AGAGUUUGAUCCUGGCUCAGGAUGAACGCUGGCGGCGUGCUUAACACAUGCAAGUCGAACGAUGAACCACUUCGGUGGGGAUUAGUGGCGAACGGGUGAGUAACACGUGGGCAAUCUGCCCUGCACUCUGGGACAAGCCCUGGAAACGGGGUCUAAUACCGGAUAACACUCCCGCACUCAUGUGUGGGGGUUAAAAGCUCCGGCGGUGCAGGAUGAGCCCGCGGCCUAUCAGCUUGUUGGUGAGGUAAUGGCUCACCAAGGCGACGACGGGUAGCCGGCCUGAGAGGGCGACCGGCCACACUGGGACUGAGACACGGCCCAGACUCCUACGGGAGGCAGCAGUGGGGAAUAUUGCACAAUGGGCGAAAGCCUGAUGCAGCGACGCCGCGUGAGGGAUGACGGCCUUCGGGUUGUAAACCUCUUUCAGCAGGGAAGAAGCGCAAGUGACGGUACCUGCAGAAGAAGCGCCGGCUAACUACGUGCCAGCAGCCGCGGUAAUACGUAGGGCGCAAGCGUUGUCCGGAAUUAUUGGGCGUAAAGAGCUCGUAGGCGGCUUGUCACGUCGGGUGUGAAAGCCCGGGGCUUAACCCCGGGUCUGCAUUCGAUACGGGCUAGCUAGAGUGUGGUAGGGGAGAUCGGAAUUCCUGGUGUAGCGGUGAAAUGCGCAGAUAUCAGGAGGAACACCGGUGGCGAAGGCGGAUCUCUGGGCCAUUACUGACGCUGAGGAGCGAAAGCGUGGGGAGCGAACAGGAUUAGAUACCCUGGUAGUCCACGCCGUAAACGGUGGGAACUAGGUGUUGGCGACAUUCCACGUCGUCGGUGCCGCAGCUAACGCAUUAAGUUCCCCGCCUGGGGAGUACGGCCGCAAGGUAAAACUCAAAGGAAUUGACGG
Molecule: ribosomal RNA, 892 nt
Filed under: Streptomyces sp. E4R21_pA
Lineage: Bacteria; Bacillati; Actinomycetota; Actinomycetes; Kitasatosporales; Streptomycetaceae
Description: bacterial SSU rRNA
Rfam family: Bacterial small subunit ribosomal RNA
Source: RNAcentral